Molecule: ribosomal RNA, 450 nt
Filed under: uncultured organism
Description: partial 16S ribosomal RNA
Rfam family: Bacterial small subunit ribosomal RNA
Source: RNAcentral
GUACACUCCUACGGGAGGCAGCAGUGGGGAAUAUUGGACAAUGGGCGCAAGCCUGAUCCAGCCAUGCCGCGUGAGUGAUGAAGGCCCUAGGGUUGUAAAGCUCUUUCACCGGUGAAGAUAAUGACGGUAACCGGAGAAGAAGCCCCGGCUAACUUCGUGCCAGCAGCCGCGGUAAUACGAAGGGGGCUAGCGUUGUUCGGAUUUACUGGGCGUAAAGCGCACGUAGGCGGACUAUUAAGUCAGGGGUGAAAUCCCGGGGCUCAACCCCGGAACUGCCUUUGAUACUGGUAGUCUUGAGUUCGAGAGAGGUGAGUGGAAUUCCGAGUGUAGAGGUGAAAUUCGUAGAUAUUCGGAGGAACACCAGUGGCGAAGGCGGCUCACUGGCUCGAUACUGACGCUGAGGUGCGAAAGCGUGGGGAGCAAACAGGAUUAGAAACCCGAGUAGUCCCA